Lolium rigidum is the source of this 459-nucleotide long non-coding RNA. RefSeq lists it as uncharacterized. Lineage: Eukaryota; Viridiplantae; Streptophyta; Magnoliopsida; Poales; Poaceae. The record is from RefSeq and is a predicted model, not a curated record. The transcript has 3 exons.
UGGAUAAUGAAGGCACACAUGAUCAUGCUGUAUUGUGUUUGUCUGUCUAGCGUAUUUUCACGUUUUCCCAGUAUGAGUUUUUUCUAUCUUUGCCCUUGAGAUUGCAACUUUUCUUUCAUAGCCAGAAUGAUAUGCAUGUUUUCAGGUUGAUCUGUUACCGUAACUGUGUUGCGUGUUGUUUUGAAUCCGAGUCAUUGUUAUCUACGACAGCUAAAACUGACGAGGUGCGUGUGGGGUUCAUUAGUGACGAGGAGGAGCAUGACGCCAUUGUGGGAGCAUAGCACGAUAUCGGCAUCCAGAGGAUAUACUCCCUAUGGUCCUACCUCAGCGGUCUCUUCCUCAAGCAGGCAACUCGGAUUCUGGACAAGCCUGAUUUCGCACCGAGAGCCUAGGUGAAAAGGCUUGUUACUUUGUGUGAUAAAGCUGCGUCCAAGCCAAUUGAAGUUAUUAGAGAGGUUG